RNAcentral lists this ribosomal RNA (442 nucleotides) under uncultured bacterium. RNAcentral's name for it is "partial 16S ribosomal RNA". It matches the Rfam family "Bacterial small subunit ribosomal RNA", at positions 338 to 795 of the family's 1533-position model. The record is from RNAcentral.
CCUACGGGAGGCAGCAGUGGGGAAUAUUGGGCAAUGGGCGCAAGCCUGACCCAGCAACGCCGCGUGAAGGAAGAAGGCUUUCGGGUUGUAAACUUCUUUUGUCAGGGAAGAGUAGAAGACGGUACCUGACGAAUAAGCUACGGCUAACUACGUGCCAGCAGCCGCGGUAAUACGUAGGUGGCAAGCGUUGUCCGGAUUUACUGGGUGUAAAGGGCGUGUAGGCGGGUUGACAAGUCAGAUGUGAAAUCCUGCGGCUUAACCGCAGAACUGCAUUUGAAACUGUUGGUCUUGAGUACUGGAGAGGGAGAUAGAAUUCCUGGUGUAGCGGUGAAAUGCGUAGAGAUUAGGAGGAACACCAGUGGCGAAGGCGGUCUGCUGGACGGCAACUGACGGUGAGGCGCGAAAGCGUGGGGAGCAAACAGGAUUAGAUACCCGUGUAGUC